AGAUGUAGAGAACAGACCUGUGGUUGCCAAGUGGAGGGAGGGAUGGAUUGGGAGUUUGGGAUUAGCAGAUGCAAACUAUUAUAUACAGGAUGGAUAAACAACAAGGUCCUGCUGUAUAGCACAGGGAACUACAUUCACUAUCCUAUGAUGAGCCAUAAUGGAAAAGAAUACAAAUAAGAAUAAAUAUGUACAACUAUACACACUACUAUAUAUAAAAUAGAUGGUUAACAGGGAUCUACUGUAUAGCACAGGGAAAUUUCAAUACUGUGUAAUAACCUACAUGGGAAAAUAAUCUGAAAAAGAAUGGAUAUAGGUAUAUGCAUAACUGAUUUACUCUGCUGUACGCCUGAAACUAAGACAACUUUCUAAGUCAACUAUACUCCAAUAACAUUUAUUUUAAAAAAGAAUUUGUGAGUAUAACUGAAUCGCUCUGCGAUUAAGAAGAAAUUAACACAUUAUAAAUCAACUAUACUUCAACAAAAUUUUUUUAAAAAGAAAACCCAGACAAAACCAAAGCCAAACGACUAUUAAGUCGAUCAAGAGCGAUGCUUAGCUUUCCAACAGGAUGCCCUUAAAUAAUAUUUGUGCGCUGCAUUGAAAUAUUUGCAGUAGGUGCUGUAAAUUAAUGACCUGAAAACACUCUCACAACUUAUAGAUGACCAAUAAAUACCACAGUUGGGUGAUACUGACUUUCAAACAGUGGAAGAUAGGAAGGAUAGAGACAUGGGGAAAGAUGACCAAAAAAGGAAAUAGAAAAAGAGUAACCACGGGUGUUAGCAUCUCCCAGGAGAUAGUAUAAGUUCAUGGAAUAAGGAUUCAUUUUACAAAAGUUCACCUGACUACCCAUCAAUAGGGAAUACCUCUAUUACAUAAUGCAAGAUACAAAGGGCAAUCAUCUGACAGAGUAAUUUUGUCUUGAGCAUAGCAAGCUGAUUUGGGAGCUAGUGCUUCUAAAGGAUUUUUGAGAAAUAAUGAUGACUCAACUUAGCUCAACUACCAUUUACAAAUGCCUGCUCGCAGAGUUCCCAUUAUGCUUCAGCAGGUUAAGAACCCAACUAGUACCCAUGAGGAUGUAGGUUUGAUCCUUGGCCUUGUUUAGUAGGUGAAGGAUCCAGUGUGGCCGCAAGCUGCAGCAUAGAUCACAGAUGACACUCGGAUCUGGUGUUGCUGUGGCUGUGGUGUAAGACUGCAGCUGCAGCUCCAACCUGACCCCUAGCCUGGGAAUUUCCAUAGGCCGCAGGUGCAGCCCUAAAAAAACAAAACAAAUGCCUACUCUGUACUCGGCACUUUCAGGAGCUAAAGAGAUUAAUAAGAUAAGGGCUGUGUGCUCAAGAAACUCCUGGCCAGUGUGUGGAUGUUUUGAAAACAAUCUAAUUAUAAGGUAGAAAGUAAAAGAAAAGAAAAAAAACGAAACAAAAAGAAAAAGAAAAGCAAUACAGGAGAACAGAAAAGCCAAGAGUGAUGUAGAAGAGGAACAACAGGGGAAAAAGAAAACGUGGCUUGGUCCAAUGGACGACGGACCACGUAAUUCCAGGAACAGAGCCAGAGAAUUUUUCCCUCCAGAUGAGCAGAGCUUUGUCUAAAAAAAAAACACCAGCUUUAAUGGACCACAAUUUUGUCUCCCGGCCCAGUGGAGAGGGAGAUGGAGGCUGUCUGGGAUGUCAAGGUUUUGUGGAGAAAGGUGAGUCUGAGGAGCCAGCCUCAGUCAGUACAACAGAAGCAGAUGGACCAAGGGUCCAUCCUGUCCUGUGUCCCCACCCUGGAGAGCUAGCCUUUGGGCUCUAUUUAUGGGACCAACUGACGACAGGAGUAACCAGUCAUUCCAGGGCUGAGCUGCCCAGGCCCCAAACAUCUACCCACCUUUUAAGAACAGAGAUUAUUUUAAAACAAUUGUAGUCCCACAUUGCAAACAUGACACUGACACCUGAAUCCAGACUAGUAUAUUACAGUGCUCGCUUCGGCGCGCAAAUACAAAGUACUACAGUACAGUCAAGUUGCAUCAGUUACUUUUAUAUUUAAGGCACUUAGACGUAAACUCAGAAACAAUCUGGUAAUCAGAUAAAGAAGGUCUUGUUCAAAGUCAUGUUUGUUCAAGCAGGGGACUGUGCCAGGAUCCACUUACCAAGGCAAAUAGUUAUAACGGGGAUAUAUUUUGCAGCAGUACAAAAAUCAUCUGUCCAUGGGUCAGAUAUUAAAAAAUAAUACUUUGAUGUCAUAAAGUAUCAGUGAGUGUUAGAUAAUUGCUUUACAAAUAUUAUUUCAUAUAAUCCUUAUAAUAGUUCUGUUUGAUGAGAACGAUCAUUCUGUUUACAGAGGUAUAAACUGAGACUCAGGUUAAGCAAACUCACCAAGAUCACACAGCCAGUAAGUGGGAGAACCCAUAUUUGACCCAAGAUUGUCUGAUCCCAGAGCACUUUCUCUUACUGACUCAAUUUUAGUUAGUUAGUUAGUUUGUUCGUUAGGGCCCCACUUACAGCAUAUGGAAGUGGCCAGGCUAGUUCACAUCCUCGUGGUUACUAGUCAGGUGCAUUUCCACUGAGCCACAACGGGAACUCCCUUAUUGACUCUAUAACACAGAAAAGGAACAAGUGACAAUUUAAACCCCAGAGGUGAGAGUUACUACUGAAAAAGCUGCAUGUAGAUUUCCCCAAAAUGUGGCACUAAGGAUGCAGCUGCAAGUGUGAUGAAGUGAAGGCCAAGGAGCAACUCUCUCGGUGGAUGAAUGUUUGAUGGAUGAAUGGAUGGAAGGAUGGGUAGUUUGGGGGAGUAUUGCUCUUCUAAUAAGGAAUUGGGAGAUGCUUCCACACCCCAGAAAAGCAAAAACUAUUCUCUUCCACCUGUGGUCACAAGUUAAGUACCUGAUCACCAACCACAUUAGACUUCCUCACCCUUGGAAGUUCCUGUUGUGACUCAGUGGGUUAAGACCCCGACUCGUAACCAUAAGGAUGCGAGUUUGAUCCCUGGCCUCACCCAGUGGGUUAAGGAUUUGGCAUUGCUGCAAGCUGUGGUGGAAGUGUAGAUGCGGCUCAGAUCCUUAGUUGCCCUGGCUGUGGCAUGGGCUGGCAGCUGCAGUUCCGAUUCGACCCCACCCCAGGAACUUCCAUAUGCUGCAGGUGCAGCCCUUAAAAGAACCCCCUCCCCCCCAAAAAAAGACUUACUUACCCAACCCCAGACUAUAGUGCAUUUUAUAAAUGACCCAUGGGAAAGGUAACAGUCUGCCAGGUGGCUGGGAAACGACUAACCUAAGUCAUGACUCAGUGUGGGCGAGGGGCUUCUGGAGUCCAUAUAUGACCAGAUAACAAUCCAUUUGUAACAGGCAACUGGAUUUGAAACUAACUGGCUGGCUAGAAACGGACUUAGUGACCUUGUCUUUAGUCACACUCUGAAUUGAACAAAUCGCUCAUUGAGAAAGCCGGGAGCAACAAGUCAGGCCGUGUUAUAUAACACCAAGACCCAGUCCGUGCCAAGAUGAAUAGCAAGAAAUAAAGCUGAUGUGAUUCAUGUGCCAGAAUGGAAGUAUUCCUUGGUCCCUAGCAUCCAGGGUGAUUACAUAUUCUGCUGGUACUGGCUCAAAUUCAGUUCUAAAAUAUGCACUCCCUUCACCGAGGGAGGUUGCUUGGAGCUAAGAGCAUCCCAUCGGUACCAUCUGGGUCCCCGGAAAGGAGAUACUAAGGCAGAUUUAGGAGUGUGAAAAGCUUACUGGGAGGGACACUUGAGAAAGGGAAAAGGGAUCUGAGACGGCCUCUGUCAGACCCCCUGGGAACUCUGAGAGUCCCGGCUUAGGCAGAAAUGGAUGGGACCUUGUACCACAGUCUCGCGCAGUCACUGGAUGGGCUGCCCCAAGGACACCACUAGCUCGGCUCAGGAGUGGAGGGCCAUCUGAACCGGUUGUCAGUGGAGGCUGCGAGGCGCCACAUGCCUCACAGCUUUCUUGAAAGGGGAACGAGCCCUUUCUGGAAGAGGGACUCUGAGCAAGACAUCUCGAUAAAUAAGGAGUCCCCCCAAAAGAGGUUGAGUUCUCUGCCCACCUAGGGCAGGGGAAGGGGUGAAAGCAGAAACCCGUUCCCUUCUUUUCUAGUUUGAAAUUUCCACCACAACCUGAGGGGUCCCUAAGGUAAGAAAACCAAGGAGCCCAGUGAAUGUUGUCUCCAGAUUCCCUCACGAAAAUUCAGCAAGUACCUCGUACACGUGGGCCCAGGUUACCCAGAGGUCCAUCUGGGACUCUCAGCUGCUCAUCCUUUAGGAUCAGUUUAUUCCAAUGGUACUGACAGCAUCAGGCUUGGGGAGGGGGUUAGACAGUUUGGGCAGAGGGGGAAGAAUCAAAGGUGUUGAAUUCUGGGAGUUCCCACUGCGGUGGGAAUCUGACGGCAGGGGCUCGGGUUCCAUCCCUGGCCUGGGAACUUCCAUAUGCCGCAGGUGUGGCCAUUAAAAAAAAAGCAAUUUUGCCAUAGGCUGGCUCUCAUUUGAAAAAUAAAGAAAAUCUGCUUCAUAGCAUCAGUGUAAUGGCAUGAUCACUGGUACCAUCAAUGGUUCCACCAGUCUGAUGGAAUUAUUAUUUAUUAUCAUUAUUAUUAUUUUUAUUUUGAUGGUUGUACCUGUGGCAUGUGAAAGUUCCUGGGCCAUGGGUCAAGUUGGAGCUACAGCUGCUGGCAACGUCAGAUCCAAGCCAUAUCUGCAAACUAUGCUGCAGCUUGCAGCAAUGCUGGAUCCUUCACCCACCGAGGGAGGCCAGGAAUCAAACCUGCAUCCUCACAGAGACAGCAUUGGGUCCUCAACCUGCUGAGCCACCAUGGGAACUCCUCUGGUGGAAUUACUUAUGCAAAGAGCCUGGCACAGUGCUUGGCACAUAGUAAGUGGUCCACUAAUGGGAGCUGGUCAUAUUCUAUUCUUUUGAUCGACUUAGUCAUUCACAGUCAUUGUUGGCUUACUAUGCCUAGGCCCCGAGAGUACACUGUUGAUAAAAAAUAGCUCAGGGAGUUCCGUCUGGUACGGCGGAAAUGAAUCCGACUAGGAACCAUGAGGUUGCGGGGUCGAUCCCUGGCCUCGUUCAGUGGGCUAAGGAUCUGGUGUUGCCAUGAGGCUGUGGGGUAGGUCGCAGACAUGGCUCAGAUCCUGUGUUGCUGUGGCUGUGGUAUAGACUGGCAGCUAUAGGUCUAAUUCAAUCCCUAGCCAGGGAUGGAACCUGCAUCCUCAUGGACCCUAUGUCGGGUUCUUAACCGGCUGAGCUACAACGGGAACUCCCACACUGAGCUAUUCUAUCUUCUGGGGAAAGAGACUGUUCCAGGUCACCCUUCUUGGGAACCGACUAGUCUUUUCUGAGUGUCCACGAAAAGUGAAGAGUAGGGAGUCUGAAGACAAGGUCGUACCAUCAGGAGGGGAAAAAAAAAAAAAAAAGCAAAACACAAAACAGAACAACAAAAAAAAGAGCUUACAAGUAACACCAGAGUUCCACAAGAAAGCUUGGGAUCGGCUGGCUGCAUUCGGAGUGAGUCCCUUCCAAAAUCCCUUUGGACUUUUGCUCAUAGCUUUGCCUCAGGUGAUUGUCUUGAUCAUUCCUGCACCAGACACUGACUGAGCUCUAAAGGGAAGGAACUGGAUCCCAUUCUUCUGUUUUCUGUUUCCUCCUGGGCUUAGGGCACAACAGGUACUGAAUUUACACACUUUUUAAACCAAAUAUAGAUUUCUUACCAGUUAACCUUUUUGCCUGGCGUCCUGAAAAGAAGCAAGUCCUUUAAGCCAUGGGUCCAAAUACUUUUUUUUCUGGAAAAGCAAAGUCUUCAUAAAAUCAUAGAAAUUCUUCUAUUGAAAACUAGCAAAGCAGGAAAAUGAAAUUGGCAACAAGGUGGCAGAAGCAAAGAGAUUUUAUUUUUCUCCAGGAGAACUAAGGAGAGCUAAUUCUAUUCACUUAGAAUGUUACUUGCUGUGAUGUAUUGAUAAGAAUCAUGAUAUCACAACUGAACAGUUAAAAUCUGGCAAUCAGUUUAAGUGACCUCCCUUUAAAGGAAAUAACUUCAACUUUAGUUAGUUGUAUGUGAAGUGGGACAAUUGGGUUACUUGUUAGUUUCUAUAGCUUUCUCCAGCUUACUCAGAAACCUAUACCAAAUGCACUGGAUCAUAUUCAGGGGGUAACUGCAGAAAACAUGGCAUGUGUUAAGUUUAACCAUAUAAAACUGUUAUUUUAUAUGUCAAAAAACAGCUGAUUAUUGGCAGUUUCUUAUGGUUCAACUGAAUAGCAGUGAUGCUACCACUGACAUUAAUGGUUUUCUUUUCCUAAAAUGUAAUUAUUAAUCUUAAAUUAUAGAAUUGUAUCAAAAAGAUACAUGCACCCCUAUGUUCAUAGCAG
Molecule: long non-coding RNA, 6343 nt
Filed under: Sus scrofa (pig)
Lineage: Eukaryota; Metazoa; Chordata; Mammalia; Artiodactyla; Suidae
Description: lncRNA (ENSSSCG00040012287.1)
Source: RNAcentral